This 274-nucleotide ribosomal RNA is filed under the name uncultured bacterium. Its description in RNAcentral is "partial 16S ribosomal RNA". It matches the Rfam family "Bacterial small subunit ribosomal RNA", at positions 523 to 796 of the family's 1533-position model. The record is from RNAcentral.
AUACGGAGGGUGCAAGCGUUGUUCGGAAUCACUGGGCGUAAAGGGCGCGCAGGCGGUUUGGUAAGUCAGAUGUGAAAGUCCACGGCUCAACCGUGGAAGUGCAUUUGAAACUGCCAGACUUGAGUACCAGAGGGGAAAGUGGAAUUCCCGGUGUAGAGGUGAAAUUCGUAGAUAUCGGGAGGAAUACCGGUGGCGAAGGCGACUUUCUGGCUGGAUACUGACGCUGAGGCGCGAAAGCGUGGGGAGCAAACAGGAUUAGAUACCCUAGUAGUCC